RNAcentral lists this ribosomal RNA (835 nucleotides) under uncultured bacterium. RNAcentral's name for it is "bacterial SSU rRNA". It matches the Rfam family "Bacterial small subunit ribosomal RNA", at positions 524 to 1381 of the family's 1533-position model. The record is from RNAcentral.
UACGGAAGUAGCGAAUGUUAUCCUACUUGACUGGGCGUAAAGAGUCCGACGACGGUUUGUUAAGUUGUUAGCGUAAGAUGGAAGCUCAACUUUCAAAAAAGUUUCAAAACUGGAUUUACUUGAAUUUAGGAAAAGAUAAUAGAAGUUUCCGUGGAAGGAUAAAAUCGGGUAAAAUGAAAACGAAUAUCAGCGGCGAAAGCGAUUAUCUAGCUUAAACUGAGAUUCAGGGACAAAAGGGUAGGGAGCGAACAGGAUUAGAGACCCUGGUAAUCUACCCCCUAAAUAUGGGUGCCGGCUUUUAAAGUUAUUUUUACCAGGCUCAGUUUACGCGUUAAGCGCCCCACCUGGGAACUACGAUCGCAAGAUUGAGACUCAAAGGAAUUGACGGGAACCAAAGCAAGUGGUGGAGCAUGUGGUUUAAUGCAAUAAUCCGCGCAAAAACUUACCAGAUCUUGUAUUUUUUUUUUGAGAAAGAAAAACACAGUGUUGCAUGGCUGUCGAAAGCCCGUGUUUAAGAUAUGAGGUUUAGUGCUCUAUCGGGCGAAACCCGCUGAUAUUAGUAUUUGUAAAACAUAUAGAUGAAUUAAACAAUUCUUAAUAUGAUUAUUAAAUCAGAAAGUAAGAGAAAAGGGACUAUGUCAAGUCAUCAUGGCCUUUAUGAAAUGGGCUACACAUGUGCUACAAUGGCUGUACAAAGAGAAGCAAUAAAGAGGAUUUAAAGCAAAUCUGUAAAGGUAGCUUUCAUUCAGGUUAUAGAUUGGAAAUUAUAUAUCAGAAACUGGGAUCAGUUGUUAUUGUGAAUUAAAAGCGUCGCGGUGAAUAAGCUUCUAGGUCU